GGACUUGUUCCGGCAGUACAUGUGCAAAAAUUUGGAAUGAUAAAGCGAAGAUUAGCAUGACCCCGUAUGCAAGGAUGACACGCAAAAUCGUGGAGCGUUACAUAUAUAU
Small nuclear RNA from Petromyzon marinus (sea lamprey), 109 nucleotides. The record is from Ensembl. NCBI's taxonomy places the organism in Eukaryota, Metazoa, Chordata, Hyperoartia, Petromyzontiformes, Petromyzontidae.